Molecule: RNA transcript, 3003 nt
Organism: Ceratina calcarata
Lineage: Eukaryota; Metazoa; Arthropoda; Insecta; Hymenoptera; Apidae
Gene: gish
Gene name: casein kinase I gish
Exons: 9
Source: RefSeq, a predicted model, not a curated record
UCGAGCGCGAGAGACAGGAGCGUAAGCUUGUCCGCGUUCGACGGCUCUUUCAAAUAGCGUGUGUGUAAUCGGUGGAUGGGGUUACAAUCAGGGAUCUAACAGCGUAUCCGUGUAACCAUAAUUCCGAAUUGAGGAUCGUUGUAAGUUCCGAGUAACGUUGGCGGGGCUCGGGCAAAGUUAACGUUAGUGUGUGGGCAUACAAUAGCCGAUCGGUCGCGCUAGUGACACGACUGCGGAUUUUCCUUUCGGAACAUACGAAGCUCGCAAAGUGCAUGUGCUGGUAUGCGUGUUCGCUGGUUGGUGCGAGUUCAAAGCCGCUACGACGGCGCUCCCGAAUAAACUGCAGAGUCUCAUCUGCAGUGGUGUGAGAGGUGCCGCCGCGGCACUGUCGGGCCACGAUUGAGUACGAUCGCGAUCGCACGCGGCGGGGCCGUUUGUAAUGGAGGUUCCCGAGUGUGUUCCCGUGCGAGAGAACAGUCACGGCGAUGCACGCCGUAUUGACUGAAACGCGAUAUUUAUCGUUGACUAUAUACCACCCGGCCGGCCGGGCAAGAGAGUCAGGUCGAAAAUUGGUAUGGAAUCGUCCAGGGCAGUCCUCGACACCAACAACGACGACUCGCUCCCGUCUGUGAUAACCACUAGCCGUUUAUAAAAAAAAGAGGAAGGGAAAAAACGAGAGGGAUAACAGCAGCAGUGAGUGUUUUACGCGCGUACUACCUUUCUCUAAUCUGCCUUUUUCCAAUUUCGUUUUUUAAGUGUAAACAUUCGAUCGAGAUUCGAGGUUAGGAUAGCAUGGGGAUUGAUCCCCUGAAGGCAUCGACCGACGAACCGUGACACCUGCGACUCGACGUGUACGGUGUGUGCCUGUGUAUGCGUGUCCGCGUGUGUGCGUUAUCCUCCCAGGCAGCCGCUGGAGUGUUAUUUUUCCAUCGUUGGCCGUCCAAGGAAAGACCAAAGAGGGAAAUAUGUCAAGAAUGGGGAUCGAUCCCCGAUUGAACGCCGUACACCGUUCGCGUCAUUAAAUUCGAUCCCGGGACUCUAAAGUCGUUGGCUACGCGUUUCACCGUGCGAUCGACUAUUUUUCUCUCACAUUUUUAAACAGACUGUUCGCGGAUAUUACUCUGCAACGACGGAGGACACUCGCACCAUGCAGAAAAGGGACGGUAGGGAACAACAGCUACCGCUCGCGCGUAGCGCCGAACGCGAACAGGAAGCGACCAAAAGGAUCUCCCGUGGUAGCGGAAACGCUGCCAGAUUGAAUUAUUCAUCCAAGUAUAGUGUCACCUCCUCGAGUGUACUCAUGGUCGGACCUAACUUCCGCGUCGGCAAGAAAAUUGGCUCUGGCAACUUUGGGGAACUUCGACUCGGGAAGAACCUCUACAAUAACGAGCAUGUUGCAAUUAAAUUGGAACUGAUGAGGUCAAAGGCGCCGCAGCUACACUUAGAAUAUAGGUUUUACAAAUUAUUAGGUACACAUGAGGGUAUACCGGAGGUAUACUAUUUUGGUGCUUGCGGGAAAUACAACGCCAUGGUAAUGGAACUCCUCGGGCCGAGUCUCGAGGACUUGUUCGACCUCUGCGGUAGGAGGUUUACCCUAAAGACCGUUAUCAAAAUCGCCACGCAGAUCCUUCACAGGAUAGAGUACGUUCACAGCCGGCAUUUGAUCUACCGCGACAUCAAGCCGGAGAACUUCCUGAUAGGACGAUCGGCAACAAAACGGGAGAAGAUCAUCCACAUAAUCGACUUCGGACUGGCCAAAGAGUACAUAGAGCUGGAGACGAACAAACACAUACCGUAUCGGGAACACAAAAGCUUGACCGGCACGGCGCGUUACAUGAGCAUCAACACGCACCUUGGAAAAGAGCAGAGCAGAAGAGACGACCUGGAAGCGUUAGGGAACAUGCUGAUGUACUUCCUACGAGGCAGCCUGCCGUGGCAAGGACUGAAGGCGGACACGCUUAAGGAACGAUAUCAGAAGAUCGGCGACACGAAACGGAACACGCCGAUCGAGGUUCUCUGCGACGGUCAUCCUGAAGAGAUGGCCACGUACCUGCGGUACGUCCGUAAAUUGGAUUUCUUCGAGACGCCCGACUACGAGUACCUGAGGAACCUAUUCCACGACCUGUACGAGAAGCGGGGUUUCGUCGAUGACGGCGAAUUCGACUGGACCGGGAAGACGAUGCCAUCCAACUACGAACAUCUCAGAGCUUUGAGGAUGGCUGCCCCCUCUCACCUCGGAAAGACUAAGUCUGAUAAGUAUACCCAUCCACGAGGAGGACGCUGCGCCGAAAUAGUUUGUCAAAGAAGCGUAUGCCCGCUCGAAGAGAAUUGCUCGAUUAAAUUGCACGGAACGAUGCUGGGAAGCUUAUCGACUUUUAUUUCGUCGAGCGUGAAAAUCUUAUUUCUCCUUUGAGACACGAUAUCUCGUUCUGACCGAGAUACUACGUUCGCAAGAAACGCUCAACACCAGUGUCGAUCACUUAAGCAUGCACACUCUUUUACUUACCUUACUUACAUUUGUUUAACUUACAAAUGCAGUCAUUUCCUCGUAGCAUAGCGGAAUCAUUUGCCUUUCUUUCUUUUUUUUUUUUUUAGAGAGAAAUCGUAGUGCAUUUGGUAUUUUGUCGUUCAUUCAUUUUUGUAUGUUUUAUUUCCUCCCGCUUAGUAGAAAAAACUUUCUAUAGAACGCCAAGUGCUCUGUAAAGUUACGUAGUACCUCUUUCGUCUAUGGAAUGGAUGUUAGAAUGUUUCUAUCAGUUAAUUAGAAUGCUUUCUGUUUGCAGACAAUGUUAAUCACGAUAUGCAUUGUAUUUUAAUUACGAUAUGAAUGUUCGUUUUGUCCUCGAGACUUCGGAGAGCACAAUGUUCGAAAAUAAUAAUAUCUAGAGUUACCGUGAAUUAUUGUUUCAUUCCCGUCUCCAAUCUACACCUGUCGGAUCCCUGCAGACCGGACAAGAGAUUAUUGUAUCGCCAAACCGUGAUCGACAUCCAUACAAGGUAUGU